Molecule: ribosomal RNA, 253 nt
Filed under: uncultured bacterium
Lineage: Bacteria
Description: partial 16S ribosomal RNA
Rfam family: Bacterial small subunit ribosomal RNA
Source: RNAcentral
UACGGAGGAUCCAAGCGUUAUCCGGAAUCAUUGGGUUUAAAGGGUCCGUAGGCGGAUUUAUAAGUCAGUGGUGAAAGUUUGCGGCUUAACCGUAAAAUUGCCAUUGAUACUGUAGAUCUUGAAUAAUUGUGAAGUGGUUAGAAUAAGUAGUGUAGCGGUGAAAUGCAUAGAUAUUACUUAGAAUACCGAUUGCGAAGGCAGAUCACUAACAAUUUAUUGACGCUGAGGGACGAAAGCGUGGGUAGCGAACAGG